RNAcentral lists this long non-coding RNA (213 nucleotides) under Trifolium pratense (red clover). RNAcentral describes it as "long non-coding RNA (TPRA_LNC008234)". The record is from RNAcentral. Lineage: Eukaryota; Viridiplantae; Streptophyta; Magnoliopsida; Fabales; Fabaceae.
GAAGAUUUACUCUGAAUGUUCUAUUCUUUGACAAUGGAGCUUUCAGAAUCAACUUGUUCUUAGGGUCAAAUACUUCAAUGCUGUGAUCUUUUGUGGAGUAAUUGAACCCUUUCUCAAGUAACUGUCCAAGGCUCAACAGGUUGUGUUUCAUAGAUGGUACAUACAGCACAUCAGUGACAAAAGUGUGAUUACCAUUCUUCCUCUGAACCAUCA